UUUGUUCAGGACGAUGCCCCGUGGGUAAGAGAACAUCCACGUGUGCGUGUGUGUGUGUGUGUGUGAGAGAGAGAGAGAGAGAGAGAUAACGAGUGGUUCUCUCUGGAGUGAGAUUAAAGGUCAUUUUUAUUUUCUAUUUCCAGCUUUUCAAGUCCAGUUAAAAAGAAAAGAAAGGCCUUUUUCUCGCCGGGCCUCCAGGGACCCUGGGGGUCCGUGCAUCUCUGUGGUCCGCUGGAAGGCCUGUCUUUUGAGGUUUUUCUAAGCACGGGCAAGGUGACCGCUGGGGAGCAGCGGGGGGCAGAGGACGCUGGAGCAAGGACAGUUAACGAUUGUGAGACGGAGAGCAAACAACACUUUCCCCUGUGCACAGGUGGACCCCGAGCCUCACUAGAAGCUUCCUCGGUUGGCCCCUGGGUCUGCUUCCCUGCUGGAGAGGCUGGGUGCCUGGUGGUGGGGGUGGGGGGGUGGGGGGACCAUCCCCCCUCACUCCCUAAGUCUCUUAGCCACCUGGAUUCUUCUCAGACUCUUAGCAAAUGCAGGGGGCAAACUUCUGAGCAAGAGCUGGAAGGCCCCAGCUGAGUGGUUUGGGGGUGGUCUCAGGGUGGUUUGGGGGAUGGUGCGACCUGGGAGCUCCCCUCUUCCCCAGCAGAUGGCCCUGCCUGGGAGCCCCGUGGGGGUGGGGGGCAGUGACCUCAGAGUGACUGAUUACUCCUUGUUCUCUUCCUCCCUCCCUCCCCUUUCCCUCCCUCCCAGCCUCAAGAAGACUCAUCUGGAGGUGAGACCUGGCCAUGGGCCCCAAUUAGAGUGUACACACCUCAUAUGCCAGCAAACAACAUCUUCACACCGGAAAUGGCACACAGCUGAAUGGAGUCACGUCACCAGUUCGGGCAACUGUCCCCUCCGUUCCCAGGCUGCCCCCGGGAAGCCUGCUCACCCACAGCACAAUCAGGCGACAGCUGACUCAUACGGGGCCACGUGGAGGCGCAGACGCAAAAGCCAGCCUCAUGGUGAACAGCCGCGCAGACCCCCCCGAGCACAGGGUCGCUGACCUUCUGACUUCAACGAGUGGACUCGGUUGAAAAAGUUGAACAGCAAACACUUCAAAGCUAAGAGCGCGCUCUUUCACCCAGGUGCACAGUGCAUUUCAAGUGACGACACUGAACACUACGAUGGGAGUUUGGAACGGGACUUCACCGACUUGCUCGUGCAUUGUCCGUUCCAGCACAACAAAUGCACUUGGGCAGGCCUGGCCCCGCCCCCGUGCCCAGAUGGGCCCGUUUCUACAGAUAAGCCUAUUUACAUACACAUACACGCAUCCCUGCAGCGGAAGGAGCCACAGAGACCACGUAGCACAACGUCCUCGUGUCCCGGAUGGGAAGGCUCCGGGAAGUCGGGCGACCACCCAGAGCCACAGGUCCACCAUCGGCACAGCGGUGAGAACCCAGGCCCCCCCGUCCCGCGUGCCACACCCACACCAUGCCACAUACCUCCUGUACACAUGCAUCCCCGUCCGCCCCGUGCACACACGCGUCAGUACACAGUGUGGGGUGUGCUCGCCUGUGCACACACCCGCUGCAGCAGCACCUCGUGGGAAGGGUCCAGGGUGCUGGACCCGGGUCCCAGAGCUGCUAGAAAACUUUUCUCCGUGGACUCGGGCCGAUCUGCUGACUUCAGUUUCUCCAUCGGCACACGAUUCUCCUCGGCCCCUAACAGGGCUGUAAUUUCUUCCAAGCACUUCUCACCGGUUGCACCAGUUUCUCUCCGCACUCUCCCGGGGAGCGGCCAUGGUGACCCCCGGCCUUCCCUCAGGGAGCCCGAGGCUCAGCAAAGUCAAGCGGCUUGCCCAUGGUCGCACAGCAGGUGAGGGCCUGCUCAGGCCUGUCACCUCCUGUCCUCACCCCUGGCUCAAGGCUUCCCCCCUACAUUUAGCUGCCCGUCAGAGGAGACCGGGACCCCAGCCACUCCCUGCCUCCAGACACCCAGUGCUGGGACAAGACGCUGUAAGUGUUACGGGUUGUAAGACUCACUAAAGUGCUUUGGUUUCUCCAGAAAAAAAAAAGUAUUAUAUAUAUAUAUGCAUGGGAA
This is a long non-coding RNA of Phyllostomus discolor (pale spear-nosed bat), 2085 nucleotides long. RefSeq lists it as uncharacterized. NCBI's taxonomy places the organism in Eukaryota, Metazoa, Chordata, Mammalia, Chiroptera, Phyllostomidae. The record is from RefSeq and is a predicted model, not a curated record. The transcript has 2 exons.